Molecule: ribosomal RNA, 1306 nt
Filed under: uncultured bacterium
Lineage: Bacteria
Description: bacterial SSU rRNA
Rfam family: Bacterial small subunit ribosomal RNA
Source: RNAcentral
AACGUACGCUGGCGGCACGCCUAACACAUGCAAGUCGAACGAAGUAGCAAUACUUAGUGGCAGACGGGUGAGUAACAUGUAGGUAUCUGCCCUUUGGCCUGGAAUAACACGGGGAAACUUGUGCUAAUACCGGAUAAGUCUUUACGGAGAAAGCUUUAUGCACCAUUGGAUGAGCCUGCACUUGAUUAGUUUGUUGGUGGGGUAAUGGCCUACCAAGACUGUGAUCAAUAGCUGAUUUGAGAGGAUGAUCAGCCACAUUGGGACUGAGACACGGCCCAAACUCCUACGGGAGGCAGCAGUGGGGAAUCUUGCACAAUGGAGGAAACUCUGAUGCAGCGAUGCCGCGUGAGUGAAGAAGGCCCUUGGGUUGUAAAGCUCUUUCGUCGGGGAAGAAAAUGACUGUACCCGAAUAAGAAGGUCCGGCUAACUUCGUGCCAGCAGCCGCGGUAAUACGAAGGGACCUAGCGUAGUUCGGAAUUACUGGGCUUAAAGAGUUCGUAGGUGGUUGAAAAAGUUAGUGGUGAAAUCCCAGAGCUUAACUCUGGAACUGCCAUUAAAACUUUUCAGCUAGAGUAUGAUAGAGGAAAGCAGAAUUUCUAGUGUAGAGGUGAAAUUCGUAGAUAUUAGAAAGAAUACCAAUUGCGAAGGCAGCUUUCUGGAUCAUUACUGACACUGAGGAACGAAAGCAUGGGUAGCGAAGAGGAUUAGAUACCCUCGUAGUCCAUGCCGUAAACGAUGUGUGUUAGACGUUGGAAAUUUAUUUUCAGUGUCGCAGGGAAACCGAUAAACACACCGCCUGGGGAGUACGACCGCAAGGUUAAAACUCAAAUGAAUUGACGGGGACCCGCACAAGUAGUGGAGCAUGUGGUUUAAUUCGAAGAUACGCGCAGAACCUUACCAACACUUGACAUGUUCGUCGCGACUCUAAGAGAUUAGAGUUUUCGGUUCGGCCGGACGAAACACAGGUGCUGCAUGGCUGUCGUCAGCUCGUGUCGUGAGAUGUUGGGUUAAGUCCCGCAACGAGCGCAACCCUCACUUUUAGUUGCCAUCAUUAAGUUGGGCACUCUGAAAGAACUGCCAGUGAUAAGCUGGAGGAAGGUGGGGAUGACGUCAAGUCCUCAUGGCCCUUACGUGUUGGGCUACACACGUGCUACAAUGGUAUCUACAACAGGAAGCAAGACUGCGAAGUUAAGCAAAUCCCUAAAAGAUACCUCAGUUCGGAUUGCACUCUGCAACUCGAGUGCAUGAAGCUGGAAUUACUAGUAAUCGUGGAUCAGCGUGCCACGGUGAAUGCGUUCCCGGGUCU